GUCGAGCGAACAGACGAGGAGCUUGCUCCUCUGACGUUAGCGGCGGACGGGUGAGUAACACGUGGAUAACCUACCUAUAAGACUGGGAUAACUUCGGGAAACCGGAGCUAAUACCGGAUAAUAUAUUGAACCGCAUGGUUCAAUAGUGAAAGACGGUUUUGCUGUCACUUAUAGAUGGAUCCGCCGCCGCAUUAGCUAGUUGGUAAGGUAACGGCUUACCAAGGCAACGAUGCGUAGCCGACCUGAGAGGGUGAUCGGCCACACUGGAACUGAGACACGGUCCAGACUCCUACGGGAGGCAGCAGUAGGGAAUCUUCCGCAAUGGGCGAAAGCCUGACGGAGCAACGCCGCGUGAGUGAUGAAGGUCUUCGGAUCGUAAAACUCUGUUAUUAGGGAAGAACAAAUGUGUAAGUAACUAUGCACGUCUUGACGGUACCUAAUCAGAAAGCCACGGCUAACUACGUGCCAGCAGCCGCGGUAAUACGUAGGUGGCAAGCGUUAUCCGGAAUUAUUGGGCGUAAAGCGCGCGUAGGCGGUUUUUUAAGUCUGAUGUGAAAGCCCACGGCUCAACCGUGGAGGGUCAUUGGAAACUGAAAAACUUGAGUGCAGAAGAGGAAAGUGGAAUUCCAUGUGUAGCGGUGAAAUGCGCAGAGAUAUGGAGGAACACCAGUGGCGAAGGCGACUUUCUGGUCUG
This 694-nucleotide ribosomal RNA is filed under the name uncultured Staphylococcus sp. RNAcentral's name for it is "bacterial SSU rRNA". It matches the Rfam family "Bacterial small subunit ribosomal RNA", at positions 61 to 736 of the family's 1533-position model. Lineage: Bacteria; Bacillati; Bacillota; Bacilli; Caryophanales; Staphylococcaceae. The record is from RNAcentral.